This 253-nucleotide ribosomal RNA is filed under the name uncultured bacterium. RNAcentral's name for it is "partial 16S ribosomal RNA". It matches the Rfam family "Bacterial small subunit ribosomal RNA", at positions 524 to 776 of the family's 1533-position model. The record is from RNAcentral.
GACGUAGGGCGCGAGCGUUGUCCGGAUUUAUUGGGCGUAAAGAGCUCGUAGGCGGCUCGUUGCGUCGGCUGUGAAAACCCGCAGCUCAACUGUGGGCUUGCAGCUGAUACGGGCGGGCUGGGAUUCGGUAGGGGAGACUGGAAUUCCUGGUGUAGCGGUGAAAUGCGCAGAUAUCAGGAGGAACACCGGUGGCGAAGGCGGUCCCCUGGGCUGACACUGACGCUGAGGCGCGAAAGCGUGGGGAGCGAACGGG